RNAcentral lists this ribosomal RNA (497 nucleotides) under uncultured bacterium. Its description in RNAcentral is "partial 16S ribosomal RNA". It matches the Rfam family "Bacterial small subunit ribosomal RNA", at positions 28 to 523 of the family's 1533-position model. The record is from RNAcentral.
GAUGAACGCUGGCGGCGUGCUUAACACAUGCAAGUCGAACGAAGCACUUUAAUCGAUUUCUUCGGAUUGAAAUUUUAGUGACUGAGUGGCGGACGGGCGAGUAACGCGUGGGUAACCUGCCUCACACAGGGGGAUAACAGUUGGAAACGGCUGCUAAUACCGCAUAAGCGCACAGUACCGCAUGGUACGGUGUGAAAAACUCCGGGGGUGUGAGAUGGACCCGCGUCUGAUUAGCUAUUUGGCAGGGCAGCGGCCUACCAAGGCGACGAUCAGUAGCCGACCGGGGAGGGUGACCGGGCACAUUGGGACGGAGACAAGGGCGAAAAUCCUACGGGAGGGAGCAGUGGGGAAGAUUGAACAAUGGGGGAAACCCUGAUGCAGCGACGCCGCGUGGGCGAAGAAGUAUUUCGGUAUGUAAAGCUCUAUCAGCAGGGAAGAAGAAAUGACGGUACCUGACUAAGAAGCACCGGCUAAAUACGUGCCAGCAGCCGCCGUAA